AAUGUGGUGAGGAAAAGGAUGAAUUAUUGACCUAUGCCUGACCUAUGAGCUCCUGGCCCAGGCUAAAGUGCAAGGGAAAGGAAAGGCUGAUACAGAGAUCAAAGUCCAAGGGAAAGGAAAGGCUGGUACAGAGCUCAGAGAAGCGCAUGGCUGACCAAAGCUGGAGGGCAUUUAAAAUGAUAUAUGGCAUUUAGAAGUGGUAUCUGAGUUGGAUUUUGAAUGAUGUGGGGGAUCUUACAUCCAGAAAUGGGGGAAAGAGGUCCAAGCAGAAGUAACACAAGAUGUGCUUGAAAUUGGUGACUGCCUGGACCAAUGGGAACAUUUAAUAACUCUGAACAUGAAACAGAGAAAAAUAAAGGAAGGACAUACUAAAGCCAAGGAGGUGGAUUAAGGUUGCCAGGUACCCCCAAAUGCCAGAUUCUGGAGUUUGCUCACUUCCCCAUGUCCCACGGCAGAGCAGCUGCAUGGUCACUGCAGUGAUAGUAAAACCAACAGAGUCUGCACAGAGGAGCUGAUUUUCAGCUCUGCUGGGAGGAGCCCUUUUAUCUCUGCUGCUUCUCUGCCAUCAAAGCCCACUCAGCCUUGAGUAGCUGCCCGCCCCCUUGCUGGUCCCAUCCUCCCAGAAUCCUGCCUGGAGGUUUUAAUUCAGAGUCUCAGAAGACAAGCAAGGGGGCUGCUUUUGAUUGAUCCGUCAAACACAAUCCCUUCAUGACUGUCUUUGGAGACUCAGGCUCCAGACAUGAAAGAUAAAAACAGGAGAUGCCAGCUUGGUUUGAGAUGGAAGAGUGUGCUGGAUCUUUCUGUUCUUCCUUUAACUCAGAAAAAAAUAAUAUACAACAUAAAAUGAAAGCUUCCUCUCUCA
Molecule: long non-coding RNA, 862 nt
Organism: Chinchilla lanigera (long-tailed chinchilla)
Lineage: Eukaryota; Metazoa; Chordata; Mammalia; Rodentia; Chinchillidae
Exons: 2
Source: RefSeq, a predicted model, not a curated record